Molecule: ribosomal RNA, 164 nt
Filed under: Haplophyllum blanchei
Lineage: Eukaryota; Viridiplantae; Streptophyta; Magnoliopsida; Sapindales; Rutaceae
Description: 5.8S ribosomal RNA
Rfam family: 5.8S ribosomal RNA
About the family: 5.8S ribosomal RNA (5.8S rRNA) is a component of the large subunit of the eukaryotic ribosome.
Source: RNAcentral
AAAACGACUCUCGGCAACGGAUAUCUCGGCUCUCGCAUCGAUGAAGAACGUAGCGAAAUGCGAUACUUGGUGUGAAUUGCAGAAUCCCGUGAGCCAUCGAGUCUUUGAACGCAAGUUGCGCCCCAAGCCGUCAGGCCGAGGGCACGUCUGCCUGGGUGUCACGC